RNAcentral lists this ribosomal RNA (441 nucleotides) under uncultured Oscillospiraceae bacterium. RNAcentral's name for it is "bacterial SSU rRNA". It matches the Rfam family "Bacterial small subunit ribosomal RNA", at positions 338 to 796 of the family's 1533-position model. Lineage: Bacteria; Bacillati; Bacillota; Clostridia; Eubacteriales; Oscillospiraceae. The record is from RNAcentral.
CCUACGGGAGGCUGCAGUGGGGGAUAUUGCACAAUGGGGGAAACCCUGAUGCAGCGACGCCGCGUGGAGGAAGAAGGUUUUCGGAUUGUAAACUCCUGUCGUUAGGGACGAUAAUGACGGUACCUAACAAGAAAGCACCGGCUAACUACGUGCCAGCAGCCGCGGUAAAACGUAGGGUGCAAGCGUUGUCCGGAAUUACUGGGUGUAAAGGGAGCGCAGGCGGGAAGACAAGUUGGAAGUGAAAACCAUGGGCUCAACCCAGGAAUUGCUUUCAAAACUGUUUUUCUUGAGUAGUGCAGAGGUAGAUGGAAUUCCCGGUGUAGCGGUGGAAUGCGUAGAUAUCGGGAGGAACACCAGUGGCGAAGGCGGUCUACUGGGCACCAACUGACGCUGAGGCUCGAAAGCAUGGGUAGCAAACAGGAUUAGAUACCCUUGUAGUCU